CCUAUGGGGUGCANCAGGCGAGAAAACUUUGCAAUGUGCGAAAGCACGACAAGGUUAAUCCGAGUGGUUUCUGCUAAAGGAACCUUUUGUUAGUGCCUAAAAACACUAGACGUANGAAGGGNGGGCAAUAAUGUGGU
This 137-nucleotide ribosomal RNA is filed under the name uncultured crenarchaeote. RNAcentral describes it as "partial 16S ribosomal RNA". It matches the Rfam family "Archaeal small subunit ribosomal RNA", at positions 322 to 458 of the family's 1478-position model. The record is from RNAcentral. Lineage: Archaea; Thermoproteati; Thermoproteota.